Molecule: non-coding RNA, 26 nt
Filed under: Rattus norvegicus (Norway rat)
Lineage: Eukaryota; Metazoa; Chordata; Mammalia; Rodentia; Muridae
Source: RNAcentral
UUGACGUUGUUCGAUCAGGCUACUAC